UACGGGAGGCAGCAGUGGGGAAUAUUGCACAAUGGGCGCAAGCCUGAUGCAGCCAUGCCGCGUGUAUGAAGAAGGCCUUCGGGUUGUAAAGUACUUUCAGCGGGGAGGAAGGGAGUAAAGUUAAUACCUUUGCUCAUUGACGUUACCCGCAGAAGAAGCACCGGCUAACUCCGUG
Molecule: ribosomal RNA, 175 nt
Filed under: uncultured bacterium
Lineage: Bacteria
Description: partial 16S ribosomal RNA
Rfam family: Bacterial small subunit ribosomal RNA
Source: RNAcentral